Molecule: ribosomal RNA, 467 nt
Filed under: uncultured bacterium
Lineage: Bacteria
Description: partial 16S ribosomal RNA
Rfam family: Bacterial small subunit ribosomal RNA
Source: RNAcentral
GAUGAACGCUGGCGGCGUGCUUAACACAUGCGAGUCGAACGGAAAGGCCCAAGCUUGCUUGGGUACUCGAGUGGCGAACGGGUGAGUAACACGUGGGUGAUCUGCCCUGCACUUCGGGAUAAGCCUGGGAAACUGGGUCUAAUACCGGAUAGGACCACAUUUUGGAUGGUGUGGUGGAAAGUUUUUCGGUGUGGGAUGAGCUCGCGGCCUAUCAGCUUGUUGGUGGGGUAAUGGCCUACCAAGGCGUCGACGGGUAGCCGGCCUGAGAGGGUGUACGGCCACAUUGGGACUGAGAUACGGCCCAGACUCCUACGGGAGGCAGCAGUGGGGAAUAUUGCACAAUGGGCGCAAGCCUGAUGCAGCGACGCCGCGUGGGGGAUGACGGCCUUCGGGUUGUAAACUCCUUUCGCUAGGGACGAAGCGUUUUUGUGACGGUACCUGGAGAAGAAGCACCGGCUAACUACGUG